UUUAUGAUGCCCUUAUAUUCAACAAUGGAUAUAAAUAUGUCUAAUUUUAGAUAUUUUUGCAGAUUAUUCCAUGCCCAAGGUGCAUAGUAGGAAAAUGGAGUUCUCCCCAGAUCUGUCAAAGGCCGAGGUACAUUAAAAAGCAACCACUUGGAAGCGCGCAGCUGAUAACUACCAGAGCUGAGACAGAGAAGGGUACAGAGAAUGGAUCGUUACAUGGCUGGAUAGAACGGCACUGAUAGAACGCCACAUUGAUCUGACAGAACGAUCCGGCCAUCAUGAACCCAGCGGAUCUGGAUGCCGUCCGUCAGGCCAUGUCGAUAAAGGGCACCCUGUUGGGACACCGCAGCUCUUCGCUUCAGGAGAUAAUGACUGGACUGCAAAUCCUGUCUGCCAGCGUGACGGCCAUCCAGGAGCGACUCAAUACACCCGCCGAGCCCCCGGCCUCUGCUUCAUCACCCGCACCAGAACCCCCGGCACCAGCGCCUGUUCCAUGCCCUGAUAGGGAACCAUGGGUUCCCACGCCCGAAAGAUAUGACUGAGAUAUGGGACUCUGUCGUUCCUUUCUGUUGCAUUGCGGUCUCGUAUUCGAUCAGCAACCCCACACC
This is a long non-coding RNA of Esox lucius (northern pike), 605 nucleotides long. Lineage: Eukaryota; Metazoa; Chordata; Actinopteri; Esociformes; Esocidae. The record is from Ensembl.